UUCAAACCGAAGUCGGACAAUGAUGGAGACACUCAAGAAGUGACAACAUGUAGAAUGCAACAGGACGUUUCUGAACGGUUAAUUGCUUAAUUUAUGUAGCUGAUGUGGGAUAUUUUCAGUCACGUGACUGUCGCGGAGCAACCAUAUAACUGCAGCACAAGCCUGUCAACUUCCCAUCUUAAAAACAAAAAUAUAUGAACAAGAUGCAAGUUUUGGGCACUUGUGAUCCAUAUACCGCACCUGCAGUGAUUUCAAUCACUAAAAACAGCGGGGCGAUUUUUUAAAAGGUAACGUGAAAAACACUAGGGUGGGUUGUACCAAAGUCCCUUUAAAACUGAAGUGCAUUAUGGGUGUCGCCGCCAUUUGUAAAGUAUCCAAACAAUCUCUGUGCAGUUGUAGUUGUUUUUUCGUUGGCUGCUUUUCAUUGUUAAAAAAAAAAAAAAAAAAAAAAAGCUGCAGUAAUAAUAUGUCCCACGAUAGAAAAUGUCAAAAACUUUACUACGAGACAAGAGUUAGUCGGUUUCCUACUUGAAAAAAGGCUGUACGGAGAGUAUGUAGAGGCAAUAACAGGCGAAUCGCAUGGGUUGCAGCGGUGAGACGCAAAAUAUUACUUUCGUCAAGAUAUCUCCAUUCUUGUAUGCUUGCUCUCUACGUUUUCACAAAGGUCAACCUGCUUAAAGAUUAUGGAGACUGACCCCAACUGGACAUCAUCCCUCCCCACAUUAGGGCCACAUCAGCAUUAAACACACGGGCUGUGUCCGAAAUCGCCCCCUAUACCCUUAAAUAGGGCACUAUUUGAAGGGACAGCCAUUUGUAGUGGUGGACGAUGUUGAGUGCACUCAUUCAAACCCACAAUGCACUGCAAUAACGAGUGUACAACCGAUCCACGCUCAACGGCUAGAGAAUACCCAUAAUGCACUGUGAGAGUCGCGUGCUGAAUGAAUUCCCGCGUCUCGCCAGGAGAUAGCGCCCGCAGCUGAAUCAAUCAUCCAUUCAUUUUCCAAACCGUGCUGGUCCAGCAUUAUCAUGCAGAUGAAGUUCCCAUUGACAUGCAUUUUACGACUGACAGACCGCAACGGUUGGAGUUAAAAAUCAUCAUUUGUGUUCUACUGAAGAAACAAAGUCACCUACAUCUUGGAUGCCCUGGGGGUAAGCAGAUAAACAUCAAAUUUUCAUUUUUGGGUGAACUAUCCCUUUAAUGCAAUAAAGAAAAAAUGCAUGAAAAAAGGGGUAGUAUUACAUAAUUCAAAAUUCUUCCUGAUCACAACACUAAACCAUCCUUAAUCAGGCACUUACGAUACAGUUAACAUGACAUCAUCAUCAUCAUUACAACAGAC
Ctenopharyngodon idella (grass carp) is the source of this 1337-nucleotide long non-coding RNA. RefSeq lists it as uncharacterized. The transcript is spliced from 3 exons. The record is from RefSeq and is a predicted model, not a curated record. NCBI's taxonomy places the organism in Eukaryota, Metazoa, Chordata, Actinopteri, Cypriniformes, Xenocyprididae.